RNAcentral lists this long non-coding RNA (317 nucleotides) under Marmota monax (woodchuck). The record is from RNAcentral. Lineage: Eukaryota; Metazoa; Chordata; Mammalia; Rodentia; Sciuridae.
GCUUAGUGGCUAGGCAGCCCUGGGUUCAAUCCCUGGUACAAAAAAAAAAGAAUGCUUUUGCCAAAUUUCAAGGGACUAUUAUAAAUGAUAUUUAUAAUUAAUCAAGUUUGCAAAUUUCUCUGUUAUGCAUACAUGGAACCUUAAAAUACUAAAGGUGAUUUCCACAUGCUUCCUAUCUUUGCUGACAUUACUUAAUCCCAAAUUGCUAAAACAAGUUUUUCAGUGUCAUAGAAUGAAUUGCCUUAGCUCAAGAUAAAGGAAAGUUUGUUUAGCGAACUGAAUCUUGUUUGAAAAUAUAUCAAUAGAGACUCGAAACA